GACAGAGGGUGCGAGCGUUAAUCGGAAUUACUGGGCGUAAAGCGUGCGUAGGUGGCGUGGUAAGUCGGGUGUGAAAUUUCGGAGCUUAACUCCGAAACUGCAUUCGAUACUGCUGUGCUUGAGGACUGGAGAGGAGACUGGAAUUUACGGUGUAGCAGUGAAAUGCGUAGAGAUCGUAAGGAAGACCAGUGGCGAAGGCGGGUCUCUGGACAGUUCCUGACACUGAGGCACGAAGGCCAGGGGAGCAAACGGA
This 253-nucleotide ribosomal RNA is filed under the name uncultured bacterium. RNAcentral describes it as "partial 16S ribosomal RNA". It matches the Rfam family "Bacterial small subunit ribosomal RNA", at positions 524 to 776 of the family's 1533-position model. The record is from RNAcentral.